Molecule: ribosomal RNA, 408 nt
Filed under: Triticum aestivum (bread wheat)
Lineage: Eukaryota; Viridiplantae; Streptophyta; Magnoliopsida; Poales; Poaceae
Description: partial small subunit ribosomal RNA
Source: RNAcentral
AUGAUCUUGUUGAGAAGUUUCUGUACAUGUCUUCAUAAUUAUCAGGGAAAUUUAGGUGAAACCGACUCCAUAUUCCGUGGAUCUAAACAUAACAAAAAACUAGUUCCUCCGUUCACAAAUAUAAGAUGCUCUAGUGAAUCGACUGUACGCAAACACAUUAUUAAACAGUUUAUAUUAAAAUAUUCAAAAUAUAUUAUAUUUAGAAUGAAGAGAGUACUGUAUUUGACUCUUCUUUCCAGCAUAUACACCUUAAACAUUUAUGGGUGUGCGCGCACAAUUGCGUGUUCUAACGUGGAUGUCAAAGCUGACAACGAAAUCCGACAGAAGUGCCAACAAGAUGAAAAAACAAAACAAAAAUCAGUUACAAAAUGUUGGAACACCUUGCUUUCCAAAGUUAGAAAAAAUUGA